This 251-nucleotide ribosomal RNA is filed under the name uncultured bacterium. RNAcentral describes it as "partial 16S ribosomal RNA". It matches the Rfam family "Bacterial small subunit ribosomal RNA", at positions 525 to 776 of the family's 1533-position model. The record is from RNAcentral.
ACGAAGGGUGCAAGCGUUGUUCAGAUUAACUGGGUGUAAAGGGUGUGUAGGUUGCUGAUUAAGUAAUACGUUAAAGCCAUGGGUUUAACCUGUGUUCGCGUCUUAUACUGGUCAGAUUGAGUAUGUCAGAGGAAAGCGGAAUUCCUAGUGAAGAGGUAGAAUUCGUAGAUAUUAGGAGGAACGCCAGAGGCGAAAGCGGCUUUCUGGGGCAUAACUGACGCUGAAACACGAAAGCGUGGGGAGCAAACAGG